Molecule: ribosomal RNA, 252 nt
Filed under: uncultured bacterium
Lineage: Bacteria
Description: partial 16S ribosomal RNA
Rfam family: Bacterial small subunit ribosomal RNA
Source: RNAcentral
UACGUAGGGGGCAAGCGUUGUCCGGAAUUAUUGGGCGUAAAGUGCGCGCAGGCGGCAAUAUAAGUCUGGUGUUUAAACCUGGGGCUCAACCUCGGGUCGCACUGGAAACUGUAUAGCUAGAGUGUAGGAGAGGAAAGUGGAAUUCCACGUGUAGCGGUGAAAUGCGUAGAGAUGUGGAGGAACACCAGUGGCGAAGGCGACUUUCUGGCCUAUAACUGACGCUGAGGCGCGAAAGCGUGGGGAGCAAACAGG